GGUCUCUUAGGAGAUAGUGGCGGACGGGUGAGUAACGCGUGAGUAAUCUGGCUUCAGGUCUGGGACAACAGUUGGAAACGGCUGCUAAUACCGGAUGUGCCUGUGGGUGAAAGGUUAACUGCCUGAAGAUGAGCUCGCGUCCGAUUAGUUAGUUGGGUGUGGUAAGAGCGCACCAAGACGGCGAUCGGUAGCUGGUCUGAGAGGACGAUCAGCCACACUGGAACUGAGACACGGUCCAGACUCCUACGGGAGGCAUUGGCGGGGAAUUUUCCGCAAUGGGCGAAAGCCUGACGGAGCAAUACCGCGUGAGGGAGGAAGGCUCUUGGGUUGUAAACCUCUUUUCUCAGGGAAUAAAGUACUGAAGGUACCUGAGGAAUCAGCAUCGGCUAACUCCGUGCCAGCAGCCGCGGUAAUACGGAGGAUGCAAGCGUUAUCCGGAAUGAUUGGGCGUAAAGGCGUCCGCAGGUGGUUUUUCAAGUCUGCUGUCAAAGAGUCUGGCUCAACCAGAUAAAGGCAGUGGAAACUGAGAGACUAGAGUAUGGUAGGGGUAGAGGGAAUUCCUGGUGUAGCGGUGAAAUGGGUAGAGAUCAGGAAGAACACCGGUGGCGAAAGCGCUCUGCUGGACCAUAACUGACACUGAGGACGAAAUGCUUAGGGAGCGAAUGGGAUUAGAUACCCCAGUAGUCCUAGCCGUAAACGAUGGAUACUAGGCGUUACGCGUAUCGACCCGCGUAGUGCCG
Molecule: ribosomal RNA, 740 nt
Filed under: uncultured Scytonema sp.
Lineage: Bacteria; Bacillati; Cyanobacteriota; Cyanophyceae; Nostocales; Scytonemataceae
Description: bacterial SSU rRNA
Rfam family: Bacterial small subunit ribosomal RNA
Source: RNAcentral